GGCAAGAUGGCCGAGUUGGUUAUGGCGGCAGGUUCAAGAGAUUUAUUCCUCUUGCCUUAAAAAUCUAAGGUAGAUUUCUGCUUCUCGUGAGGGAACCGGGGUUCGAAUCCCCGUCUUGUCA
This is a transfer RNA of 121 nucleotides. It matches the Rfam family "tRNA". From Rfam's summary of the family: Transfer RNA (tRNA) molecules are approximately 80 nucleotides in length. The record is from Rfam.